This 728-nucleotide ribosomal RNA is filed under the name uncultured bacterium. RNAcentral's name for it is "bacterial SSU rRNA". It matches the Rfam family "Bacterial small subunit ribosomal RNA", at positions 773 to 1501 of the family's 1533-position model. The record is from RNAcentral.
CAGGAUUAGAUACCCUGGUAGUCCACGCCGUAAACGAUGUCGACUUGGAGGUUGUGCCCUUGAGGCGUGGCUUCCGGAGCUAACGCGUUAAGUCGACCGCCUGGGGAGUACGGCCGCAAGGUUAAAACUCAAAUGAAUUGACGGGGGCCCGCACAAGCGGUGGAGCAUGUGGUUUAAUUCGAUGCAACGCGAAGAACCUUACCUGGUCUUGACAUCCACAGAACUUUCCAGAGAUGGAUUGGUGCCUUCGGGAACUGUGAGACAGGUGCUGCAUGGCUGUCGUCAGCUCGUGUUGUGAAAUGUUGGGUUAAGUCCCGCAACGAGCGCAACCCUUAUCCUUUGUUGCCAGCGGUCCGGCCGGGAACUCAAAGGAGACUGCCAGUGAUAAACUGGAGGAAGGUGGGGAUGACGUCAAGUCAUCAUGGCCCUUACGACCAGGGCUACACACGUGCUACAAUGGCGCAUACAAAGAGAAGCGACCUCGCGAGAGCAAGCGGACCUCAUAAAGUGCGUCGUAGUCCGGAUUGGAGUCUGCAACUCGACUCCAUGAAGUCGGAAUCGCUAGUAAUCGUGGAUCAGAAUGCCACGGUGAAUACGUUCCCGGGCCUUGUACACACCGCCCGUCACACCAUGGGAGUGGGUUGCAAAAGAAGUAGAUAGCUUAACCUUCGGGAGGGCGCUUACCACUUUGUGAUUCAUGACUGGGGUGAAGUCGUAACAAGGUAACC